RNAcentral lists this unclassified non-coding RNA (236 nucleotides) under Homo sapiens (human). RNAcentral's name for it is "long intergenic non-protein coding RNA 1060 (ENSG00000281580.2)". The record is from RNAcentral. Lineage: Eukaryota; Metazoa; Chordata; Mammalia; Primates; Hominidae.
CUCUUCGCAAUGAGUUUCCAGUUAGAUGGAGGAGAGAGUAAUAAAACACAGAGCUGAGAUUCCUGACUUCACAGAUCCCUGAGGAGAUGUUUACUAAAGGGAAUCUUCUGGUCACUGUUACCUUCCUCCGUACUUACCUGCCUCAUGGAGAACCCGAAAGGAAGAAGCUAUACGACUGGGGACACAUGUCUUAGAAGCACACUCAUUAGAUAAAGUGUCGCAUACUCUUUGAUAAG